CCCCAAGAACAGGCACUCAUGGGAUCUGUGUCCCUGCCCUCGCCUGAGAAGCCCAAAUUGGACGUCAUGAGUCAUGUGCAGCAGGACCUGGGCCGAGGAGAGAGCUGUAGGAAGGCCGGGUCCUGAACUCAAAGGCGGACUGGGGUGGACCCUGCCAGCAACAGCCCCUUGGCCCCAUGCUCCGCAUCAGCUCCUCAGGGCGCUAGAGUGGGACGUACGGGAUGUGGCCCUCCUUCACGGGCCAGGAAAACUAAGGCCUCUCGAGGGACCUAUCAUGUUGCCCCAAAGCACCGAGUGCCCAGAAAAACUCAUGGCAAAAAACACGAGCGAGCUCCACGUGACAUGGAAGUGAGCACGGACCUUCCAAACCCCCACGUGGAAGCGGCAACACUGGGGAGGGGCCUCAUUUCCAUUCUACAGAACGUGGACGCGUCAGAGAAGUAGAGAAACACAGGAAGCCUGGAGCGGCGACCUAAAGGCUUCACCCGACAGCGUGGGGUCCGUCCCCUCCACAAGCGAACACGCCGAGCUGCUCCCGCAGGCCCUCAAAGGUGCGGAGCGUCCGCCAGCCGAGAGCCAAGGCCCCCAGCCUGGAGGGUUGAACUCGAGUCCUGCAGGCGCCUGGGAAGGGGGCGGUCACCAGGCGGGUGCUGAGCCCGCCUCCCCAUGCCACCCCUUCACUGGGUGUUUCCCAGGUAUCCUUUCACACAGCUCCUAGCUAUGAGGCCGCCCCAUUUUACCAAGAGCAAAACUCAGUCUGUGGGACCCUUUCCAGGAUGGAGUCUGCCCCAGGCACAGGCAGCAGCUGAUGUGCGGACCACACCCGUGGCCUCAAGCUACCUGCUCCGCUCCAGUGCAGUCGGCGUGGUGUGCAGUCGGGCGUGCAGGCACCACACACCUGAACUCGGUGAACACCCUCCGGGUCCUGUCCCUCCUGAGACGUGACAGAAAUGGCCCCGCACAUGAGAGGCCUGAUGCUUGGAGGCCCUGCGGCCCCUGGGCAACUCAAUGCACUGCGGGCACAGGCUGGAUCCACAGCCCCGCCCCAGCUUCCUGCCAUCGUGGGAGCCACAAGCUCCACCCUUCCCUGUCAGGUGAGAGCAAGUUCCAAACUAUUGCUCCCCUCCUCUGUGACCAACUGACAAAGGGCAUUUCAUUUAUGUUGAUGGGAACAGCAAAAUAAACCUGGCACUAGAGAAUUGUUUUUCCAUUAGUGGUUCUGCAUAACGAAACCCGCUAAGUGAACAAAGUACCAAAUGUGGGACUGAACUGAUGGGGGCAGUUUUGUCAACUUAAAAAUUCUCUUGGGGAAGAAGCUACAACAUUUGGGACUGAGGCCAUUUGGAGACCAUCAGAGCAAUACUUACAUCUGUGAGGCGGCUGCCCCUGCGGAGAGAAAAGAUACUUUAAUUUUGUUAAAGCUGAAUAAAAAACACUGAAGACAAAAA
Piliocolobus tephrosceles (Ugandan red Colobus) is the source of this 1448-nucleotide long non-coding RNA. RefSeq lists it as uncharacterized. The transcript has 2 exons. NCBI's taxonomy places the organism in Eukaryota, Metazoa, Chordata, Mammalia, Primates, Cercopithecidae. The record is from RefSeq and is a predicted model, not a curated record.